UCAGCCGGUCGGGCAGCCGCGCUUGUUCAAUACCGAAAGGUGGCAAGUGAGGAAAGUCCGGGCUCCAUGGAAACACGAUGCCGGGUAACGCCCGGCGAGGGUGACCUCAGGGAAAGUGCAACAGAGAGCAGACCGCCUGCCAUCGCCCGUAAGGGUAUCGGGCAGGUAAGGGUGAAAGGGUGGGGUAAGAGCCCACCGCGCUGCCGGUAACGGGAGUGGCACGGUAAACCCCAUCGGGAGCAAGACCGAAUAGGGACGGCGUAUCAGGCUUCGGUCUGGUAAUCAGUUUCCGGAUAGCCGUCCGGGUGGGUUGCAAGAGGCGGGUGGCGACAUCCGUCCCAGAUGAAUGGCUGCCGCGUCGGGCUGGAAACAGCCCGGCCAUACAGAACCCGGCUUACAGACCGGCUGACAAU
This 413-nucleotide RNase P RNA is filed under the name Pseudochrobactrum sp. Wa41.01b-1. RNAcentral's name for it is "RNase P RNA component class A". It matches the Rfam family "Bacterial RNase P class A". Rfam says of the family: Ribonuclease P (RNase P) is a ubiquitous endoribonuclease, found in archaea, bacteria and eukarya as well as chloroplasts and mitochondria. Its best characterised activity is the generation of mature 5'-ends of tRNAs by cleaving the 5'-leader elements of precursor-tRNAs. The record is from RNAcentral. Lineage: Bacteria; Pseudomonadati; Pseudomonadota; Alphaproteobacteria; Hyphomicrobiales; Brucellaceae.